Molecule: unclassified non-coding RNA, 981 nt
Filed under: Hevea brasiliensis (rubber tree)
Lineage: Eukaryota; Viridiplantae; Streptophyta; Magnoliopsida; Malpighiales; Euphorbiaceae
Source: RNAcentral
AAAAGAAAAAUAUAAAUAAAUAAAAUUGACUACUGUUAUAGGAGGAAAAGUAGAAGCAAGCAAUCCAUUUAUUCUUGAAUUUUCUUUUGUGAACGUAUACGCCUCUCAUCAAUCUAACAAAAAAGCCUUAAAACUAUAAAACCUGACUCAAUAUCGUUCCCAUUAUUAUAAUCAUGAUACAACAAAUGCAACAUAUGAAUAUAACUUUUCUGAUUUAUCACCUGAAUCACCUCAACCACUAGCUAGCCUUUGAUGAUCAUGCUGUUGCCUCCCUAAUUUAUCCUCUCAAGGUCGUUCAUAGGGCAUCCAUGCAUAGACAAGAGCCAGCUCUGCGAAGUUGGUUCCAUAUUCUUAAAUAACUUUCUCCCAUGCACUCUACAGAACAACCCUCCCAAAAUUCUCUUGAUCAAGUUGAUAUCUUAACUCCCCAAGUUGACUCUGCAUAGAAAGUGGAAGAUUAGAGCAUAAAAAUGCAUAAUUAAAGAAAAUUUCUAAAACUAAAAUUACUUAACCCCAAAUUUAAAAAAUCCGGGGGGUAAUUACAUCUCAUUAGUAAAAAUUCAACCAUGAAAAUGCCCAAGUUCAUCCUACAGACUGACACGGGCACAAGUGAAGUGCUUUCUCAAUAAUAAUUUUCUAUUUAUAGUUCAACUUAGUUCAACUUUAUCCGAAGCCUCUCUCUAUCAAGAUCAGAAAUAAGGCCCGAUACCCAUCAAAAUGUGGAACCAAAAUUUUCCAUCGACGGACCAUCGCUCAAUUGUUCAACUAAUCCAAGCAAAACAGAAAUAAAUAUUAAAGAAAAGAAGCCAAACCUUGGACACAGCCUCAGCAAUAAGCCUUCCAGACUCAAUCGCCUCCGCUUGCCCAUCUCGAACCGCCAGACAAUCUCUCGGCGUCUCGAACAAAGAAAGCGAGAACUGCUUAGAAACAACACCAACAUCGAAAUAAAUAACACCAGAACUGGGUACAUCGACCCGAAUA